AAGCCGAGGCCGAAAGGCGUAGGCGAUGGACAACAGGUUGAUAUUCCUGUACCACCUCCUCACCAUUUGAGCAAUGGGGGGACGCAGGAGGAUAGGGUAAGCGCGGUAUUGGAUAUCCGCGUCCAAGCAGUUAGGCUGGGAAAUAGGCAAAUCCGUUUCCCAUAAGGCUGAGCUGUGAUGGCGAGCGAAAUAUAGUAGCGAAGUUCCUGAUUCCACACUGCCAAGAAAAGCCUCUAGCGAGGUGAGAGGUGCCCGUACCGCAAACCGACACAGGUAGGCGAGGAGAGAAUACUAAGGUGAUCGAGAGAACUCUCGUUAAGGAACUCGGCAAAAUGACCCCGUAACUUCGGGAGAAGGGGUGCUCUGUUAGGGUGCAAGCCCGAGAGAGCCGCAGUGAAUAGGCCCAGGCGACUGUUUAGCAAAAACACAGGUCUCUGCGAAGCCGUAAGGCGAAGUAUAGGGGCUGACGCCUGCCCGGAGCUGGAAGGUUAAGAGGAGCGCUUAGCGUAAGCGAAGGUGCGAAUUGAAGCCCCAGUAAACGGCGGCCGUAACGAUAACGGUCCUAAGGUAGCGAAAUUCCUUGUCGGGUAAGUUCCGACCCGCACGAAAGGCGCAACGAUCUGGGCACAGUCUCAACGAGAGACUCGGUGAAAUUAUAGUACCUGUGAAGAUGCAGGUUACCCGCGACAGGACGGAAAGACCCCGUGGAGCUUUACUGCAGCCUGAUAUUGAAUGUUGGUACAGCUUGUACAGGAUAGGUAGGAGCCUUGGAAACCGGAGCGCCAGCUUUGGUGGAGGCAUCGGUGGGAUACUACCCUGGCUGUAUUGACCUUCUAACCCGCCGCCCUUAUCGGGCGGGGAGACAGUGUCAGGUGGGCAGUUUGACUGGGGCGGUCGCCUCCUAAAAGGUAACGGAGGCGCCCAAAGGUUCCCUCAGAAUGGUUGGAAAUCAUUCGCAGAGUGUAAAGGCACAAGGGAGCUUGACUGCGAGACCUACAAGUCGAGCAGGGACGAAAGUCGGGCUUAGUGAUCCGGUGGUUCCGCAUGGAAGGGCCAUCGCUCAACGGAUAAAAGCUACCCCGGGGAUAACAGGCUUAUCUCCCCCAAGAGUCCACAUCGACGGGGAGGUUUGGCACCUCGAUGUCGGCUCAUCGCAUCCUGGGGCUGUAGUCGGUCCCAAGGGUUGGGCUGUUCGCCCAUUAAAGCGGUACGCGAGCUGGGUUCAGAACGUCGUGAGACAGUUCGGUCCCUAUCCGUCGCGGGCGCAGGAAAUUUGAGAGGAGCUGUCCUUAGUACGAGAGGACCGGGAUGGACGCACUGCUGGUGUACCAGUUGUUCUGCCAAGGGCAUCGCUGGGUAGCUAUGUGCGGACGGGAUAAGUGCUGAAAGCAUCUAAGCAUGAAGCCCCCCUCAAGAUGAGAUUUCCCAUUCCGCAAGGAAGUAAGAUCCCUGAAAGAUGAUCAGGUUGAUAGGUCUGAGGUGGAAGUGUGGCGACACAUGGAGCUGACAGAUACUAAUCGAUCGAGGACUUAACC
RNAcentral lists this ribosomal RNA (1535 nucleotides) under metagenome. RNAcentral describes it as "bacterial LSU rRNA". It matches the Rfam family "Bacterial large subunit ribosomal RNA", at positions 1393 to 2925 of the family's 2925-position model. The record is from RNAcentral.